RNAcentral lists this ribosomal RNA (406 nucleotides) under uncultured bacterium. RNAcentral describes it as "partial 16S ribosomal RNA". It matches the Rfam family "Bacterial small subunit ribosomal RNA", at positions 30 to 526 of the family's 1533-position model. The record is from RNAcentral.
AUUGAACGCUGGCGGCAGGCCUAACACAUGCAAGUCGAACGAGUGGCGGACGGGUGAGUAAUGUCUGGGAAACUGCCUGAUGGAGGGGGAUAACUACUGGAAACGGUAGCUAAUAACGCAUACUAUCAGAUGUGCUCAGUGGGGAUUAGCUAGUUGGUGGGUUAACGGCUAACCUAGGCGACGAUCCCUAGCUGGUCUGAGAGGCUGACCCGCCCCACUGGAACUGAGCCACGGUCCAUACUCCUACGGGAGGCAGCAGUGGGGAAUAUUGCACAAUGGGCGCAAGCCUGAUACAUCCAUGCCGCGUGUAUGAAGAAGGCCUUCGGGUUGUAAAGUACUUUCAGCGGGGAGGCGUUACCCGCAGAAGAAGCACCGGCUAACUCCGUGCCAGCCGCCGCGGUAAUAC